This 958-nucleotide ribosomal RNA is filed under the name uncultured marine bacterium. Its description in RNAcentral is "bacterial SSU rRNA". It matches the Rfam family "Bacterial small subunit ribosomal RNA", at positions 57 to 1061 of the family's 1533-position model. The record is from RNAcentral.
GCAAGUCGAACGAAGUAGCAAUACUUAGUGGCAGACGGGUGAGUAACAUGUGGGUAUCUUCCCUUUGGUGAGGAAUAACACGAGGAAACUUGUGCUAAUACCUCAUAAGUCUUUACGGAGAAAGCUUUAUGCGCCAAUGGAUGAGCCCGCACUUGAUUAGUUUGUUGGUGGGGUAACGGCCUACCAAGACUUUGAUCAAUAGCUGAUUUGAGAGGAUGAUCAGCCACAUUGGGACUGAGACACGGCCCAAACUCCUACGGGAGGCAGCAGUAAGGAAUCUUGCACAAUGGAGGAAACUCUGAUGCAGCGAUGCCGCGUGAGUGAAGAAGGCCUUUGGGUUGUAAAGCUCUUUCGUCGGGGAAGAAAAUGACUGUACCCGAAUAAGAAGGUCCGGCUAACUUCGUGCCAGCAGCCGCGGUAAUACGAAGGGACCUAGCGUAGUUCGGAAUUACUGGGCUUAAAGAGUUCGUAGGUGGUUAAAAAAGUUGGUGGUGAAAUCCCAGAGCUUAACUCUGGAACUGCCAUCAAAACUUUUUAGCUAGAGUAUGAUAGAGGAAAGCAGAAUUUCUAGUGUAGAGGUGAAAUUCGUAGAUAUUAGAAAGAAUACCAAUUGCGAAGGCAGCUUUCUGGAUCAUUACUGACGCUGAGGAACGAAAGCAUGGGUAGCGAAGAGGAUUAGAUACCCUCGUAGUCCAUGCCGUAAACGAUGUGUGUUAGACGUUGGAAAUUUAUUUUCAGUGUCGCAGCGAAAGCGAUAAACACACCGCCUGGGGAGUACGACCGCAAGGUUAAAACUCAAAUGAAUUGACGGGGACCCGCACAAGUAGUGGAGCAUGUGGUUUAAUUCGAAGAUACGCGCAGAACCUUACCAACACUUGACAUGUUCGUCGCGACUCUAGAGAUUAGAGUUUUCGGUUCGGCCGGACGAACACAGGUGCUGCAUGGCUGUCGUCAGCUC